Molecule: ribosomal RNA, 305 nt
Filed under: uncultured bacterium
Lineage: Bacteria
Description: bacterial SSU rRNA
Rfam family: Bacterial small subunit ribosomal RNA
Source: RNAcentral
UACCUACGGGACGCAGCAGUGGGGAAUAUUGCACAAUGGGCGCAAGCCUGAUGCAGCGACGCCGCGUGCGUGAUGGAGGCCUUCGGGUUGUAAACCGCUUUUGUUCAAGGGCAAGGCACGGUCUUUGGCCGUGUUGAGUGGAUUGUUCGAAUAAGCACCGGCUAACUACGUGCCAGCAGCCGCGGUAAUACGUAGGGGGCAAGAGUUAUCCGGAUUUAUUGGGCGCAAAGGGCUCGUAGGCGGUUCGUGGCGUGCGGUGUGAAAGACCAUGGAUUAAAGGGGGAGCGGCGCCGGGUAGGGGGGGG